UGCAUGCCCUGCUUGUGUGUGUGC
This 24-nucleotide non-coding RNA is filed under the name Rattus norvegicus (Norway rat). Lineage: Eukaryota; Metazoa; Chordata; Mammalia; Rodentia; Muridae. The record is from RNAcentral.